UGGCGGACGGGUGAGUAACGCGUGGGUAACCGUGCCUUGUACUGGGGGACAACAGUUAGAAAUGACUGCUAAUACCGCAUAAGCGCACAGGACCGCAUGGUCUAGUGUGAAAAACUCCGGUGGUGUGAGAUGGACCCGCGUUUGAUUAGCUAGUUGGUGGGGUAACGGCCUACCAAGGCGACGAUCAAUAGCCGACCUGAGAGGGUGACCGGCCACAUUGGGACUGAGACACGGCCCAA
Molecule: ribosomal RNA, 239 nt
Filed under: uncultured bacterium
Lineage: Bacteria
Description: partial 16S ribosomal RNA
Rfam family: Bacterial small subunit ribosomal RNA
Source: RNAcentral